GUAGAAUCUACCAGACACCUUAGAAAAGACAUCACAGAACAGGACAUAGAGAACAGAGGCCAACAGUCGGGGCUGGUGUGUAAAGAGGAAUGGGGGAUCCACGGAUACAGGACAGAGGGUAGAAAAGGGAGGCACCCCCAGAGCAUCCAAGGGAUCGCUGUAUCAGGAGUGAGAGCUGAGCAGAAAGGUAAACUGGGUGGUGCAGCGUCUCCGCAUCCAUUGAUCCCCGAGCGCUGUCUUGUUUCCUUUACCCAACAGUUGAGCAGAUGGGUGCUGAGGCUUAGCCGGGCGAGCAGGUCACACAGCCUGUGUAUGAGUUGUGCAGCUGCAAUUCUCUCUGCUGCUGCUGCAGGGGAGCCCACACAGUCACCCCACACUAGGGGUACAGGAGCUAUGCGUGUUGCAGAUCUUGCCUGGAGAGCCCAGGAUCGACGGCUGUUUAUCCCGCUGGCUCUUGUCUCC
RNAcentral lists this long non-coding RNA (462 nucleotides) under Rattus norvegicus (Norway rat). RNAcentral describes it as "long non-coding RNA NONRATT022449". Lineage: Eukaryota; Metazoa; Chordata; Mammalia; Rodentia; Muridae. The record is from RNAcentral.